This 1506-nucleotide long non-coding RNA is filed under the name Nicotiana tabacum (common tobacco). RNAcentral describes it as "long non-coding RNA (NTAB_LNC009027)". Lineage: Eukaryota; Viridiplantae; Streptophyta; Magnoliopsida; Solanales; Solanaceae. The record is from RNAcentral.
AAUCUCCUUGGGCGCUCUUCUUCAUUCAGCCAUUUAGGCCAGGCUAGGAACAUGUUUCCUGGGAGCUUGGCUUCCUUGCUUGUCGCUCUCUAUUUUCGUGGUAUAAAACUAUAAAUUAAAUAUGUUAAUGCAGGAGAUGAAUUUGUUAAGCGAUUUAUGCAACACCGAUGUCAUUCAGAUGCAUGGUCUGGUUGAUUGUGAAUUUUUGGUGACUCAUAUUAAGAGGUAAGAAAUGAAAUUUCUGUUUUCUCAGUAAACUAUUAGAAACUUUUUUCUGUUACUUUAAAUUUUUAUAUAUAGCCGGUCAUGAUAUUUUAUUAACUGGGUUUUAGUGUAUAUUGUAUAUAAAUAUAAAAGAAGUGGAUGGUUCCUAUUGGUUUCGGACAUGAAGAAAGGGCUGCAAGAAAAUAUAAUAAAACUUGAGAGAUCUUCACCAGACAGUAAUCUUUCUUAAUGUUUAAUAAUAUGUUCUUCUCUUUGUAUCAAUGUGCGCAAGAUGGUAGAUAUGAUCUUCAUUUAGUUUCAUGUCUUAAUUUGUAUUAACAUGUUUUGGUUAAUGUAAAGAGUGAUUCUAAGAUUGAGAGCUAAAGUCUCUCUCACCCCACAAACCAUUUACUUUUCAAAAGGAAAAAAAGAGCUUCUAUUCUGGUUAUAUCUGAGCACCUGUUUUUCAGGUGUUUAAUUUAGUUAACAACAUUAUGUAUAGCAAGUCGAGCAAAUAUAGAUAAAAGCCGACUAUGAAAACAACUACUCCCUCCGUUCCAAUUUAUGUUAUUUAUGUGAACCUGUUUGACUGAGUACGGAGUUUAAGAAAAAAAUGAAGACUUUUGGAAUUUGUGGUCCUAAACAAGUCCAAAUGGAGCCCAGAGUAUUUGUGUGGUUAUAAAAGCUUCUCAUUAAGGGUAAAGUUGUAACUUUAAGCUAAAUUGUUACCAAAUUUAGAAAGGGUUCAUUCUUUUUGGAACGGACCAAAAAAGAAAUAGGUUCACAUAAAUUGGAGUACUUAACUUCCAUAUUUGAAUUUGUGAUAGUCAUUAAAAAGAUAUAGGUAGAGUGUUUAUAUCCUUAUGGUGGACUAGAACUAAGAAAUUGAUAUAUUUUCAGCAACAACAAAUGGUAAUGCAUGUGCAUCGUAAAUCAAAUAUAUACAAAGAGUUGAACUGUUAGAUACUGAUAGCUGCAGCCUUAGGGGGUAAGUGCGUGACCUCCUAACUGGUUUGGCAGAUCUAGUAGGAGCAAUUGGUUCGAAGACCGAAUUUCUUGGAAGUUGCCAUCAUAUUCAAUAUUUGAGACAUUCACACACAGCUGCAGGCCUUCAACAUAAGACUGGAAAUUCCUUCUCUAUCAUCAAAGGUUUCAAACCAGAGAUCAAUAAUGAUACAACCUUUUGCUAGAACAAAGAUGCUGUAAAUGAGGCUCUGAGUUGGUUGUUGGAACGACACCACUUUUAUAUAUUGUUUAAUCAUAUAUUGUAAAGAAAAAGUCAUAUGACACAACCUUUUACAC